UUUUGUUGCGGUUUAGCCUU
This 20-nucleotide unclassified non-coding RNA is filed under the name Chlamydomonas reinhardtii. Its description in RNAcentral is "small RNA Cre_4179". The record is from RNAcentral. Lineage: Eukaryota; Viridiplantae; Chlorophyta; Chlorophyceae; Chlamydomonadales; Chlamydomonadaceae.